CGUUAGAACAUUCGUUUAUAUUACGACGUUCCGUUUAUAUAAAUAUCAACAACGAGUUUUAGAGUUUUUACGCAAAACUUAAACGAUCCCAGCACGUCUACCGUUUUUGACUUUAUCAAUCGAAAAUGUAAUUUAUUUAAAAAUUUAUCACAUAACGUUGUUUUCUAACCCAUUUUCCUUACAGAGGAACUAUUUAACCAGUUUUCUGGCCAAAUAUCUGAAUGACAUUCUCUUUGGAUUAAGACGUUGCGAGUUCACCUGUUCGUUCUCACGGUUUGAGUCACGCGAAUUCGACUCCCCUUACCUAACUUUACUCUUCUGAAUGUCAAGAAGGGAUGGUUCUUCAUACAGAGCAUUUCGUGUAUGUUUGUUUGUUUUCCUACCCCACUUCAGCCUCUCUUGUUUGUUUUGGAGAUCCUCUCUUAUUAUGGUACCGUAUAGUAACCUAUACGAAUCUCCAUUUAUGAAAUACGAGCCUAAAUCGUUCCCCUCUAAACAAGAACACUACAUAAUAUCGAGAAGUAUUAGUUUAACAUUUGCUAACUAUUCGAAUGAAAUUGAUAGGAAACAAAUAUGGUUAACGUCGAACUUAACGAAUACCAUCAGCGAUCCAGCAGGAUUUUAGCUUUGUGGUUAUUUUUCUUCUCGUCACGAAGAGGGAGAGAGAAGAGAGAGAGAGAGAGAGAGCGGAGCUUGGACUGAGUAGAAAUUAACUAGGGCUACCUCCAGUGAAAAUUUAAUAACGCACAACGUCCAUUGGACGGCUAUGGUACACGUCCCCCAUCCAAUAAAUUGAUUACGAGGUUGUCACCUCCAGGGUAAUGCAAGUGGCAGUUUGGGGAACAUCUUUCGGAUAUCCCUGUGUGCCGUCAGUUAGGACCUAACUUUGUACUCUGGGACAUCAGUUAGACCUUAACUUCUUCCAGUUUUUUUUUUUUUCCUUUUUCCUGCUGCUGCUCUGCUGCUGCUGCUUCAAUUUGUUUUCUUAUCGUUUACAUAAAUCGCUGGCGAUAAAAUUGUCGCCGAUUGUUUAUCAAAU
Molecule: long non-coding RNA, 1039 nt
Filed under: Androctonus crassicauda
Lineage: Eukaryota; Metazoa; Arthropoda; Arachnida; Scorpiones; Buthidae
Source: RNAcentral